Molecule: ribosomal RNA, 158 nt
Filed under: uncultured bacterium
Lineage: Bacteria
Description: partial 16S ribosomal RNA
Rfam family: Bacterial small subunit ribosomal RNA
Source: RNAcentral
GGCAGGUCAGCAUACUGCCGUGAAUACGUUCCCGGGCCUUGUACACACCGCCCGUCACACCAUGAGAGUUGGGGAUACCCGAAGCCUGUGAGCUAACAGUAAUGGAGCAGCAGUCGAAGGUAGAAUCAAUGAUUGGGGUGAAGUCGUAACAAGGUACC